AGAGACUGCAAGCGUUAUUCGGAUUCACUGGGCGUAAAGGGUGCGCAGGCGGUUGGGUGUGUCAGAUGUGAAAUCCCGAGGCUCAACCUCGGAACUGCGUCUGAAACUACUCGACUAGAGUACUGGAGAGGGUAACGGAAUUCACGGUGUAGCAGUGAAAUGCAUAGAUAUCGUGAGGAACACCAGAGGCGAAGGCGGUUACCUGGACAGUUACUGACGCUCAGGCACGAAAGCAUGGGGAGCAAAAGGGAUUAGAUACCCCUGUAGUCCAUGCCCUAAACGGUGCACACUAGGUCUUAGCGGAUUCGACCCCACUAGGGCCCAAGCUAACGCGUUAAGUGUGCCGCCUGAGGACUACGGUCGCAAGACU
This 370-nucleotide ribosomal RNA is filed under the name uncultured bacterium. RNAcentral's name for it is "bacterial SSU rRNA". It matches the Rfam family "Bacterial small subunit ribosomal RNA", at positions 527 to 895 of the family's 1533-position model. The record is from RNAcentral.